This 1427-nucleotide ribosomal RNA is filed under the name uncultured organism. Its description in RNAcentral is "SSU rRNA". It matches the Rfam family "Bacterial small subunit ribosomal RNA". The record is from RNAcentral.
CUACAGGCUUAACACAUGCAAGUCGAGGGGCAGCAUGAUCUUAGCUUGCUAAGGCCGAUGGCGACCGGCGCACGGGUGAGUAACGCGUAUCCAACCUGCCUUACACUCUUGGACAGCCUUCUGAAAGGGAGAUUAAUACAAGAUGUUAUCAUGAGUAAGCAUUUUCGCAUGAUUAAAGGUUUACCGGUGUAAGAUGGGGAUGCGUUCCAUUAGAUAGUAGGCGGGGUAACGGCCCACCUAGUCUUCGAUGGAUAGGGGUUCUGAGAGGAAGGUCCCCCACAUUGGAACUGAGACACGGUCCAAACUCCUACGGGAGGCAGCAGUGAGGAAUAUUGGUCAAUGGACGAGAGUCUGAACCAGCCAAGUAGCGUGAAGGAUGAAGGUUCUAUGGAUUGUAAACUUCUUUUAUACGGGAAUAAACGGAUCCACGUGUGGAUUUUUGCAUGUACCGUAUGAAUAAGGAUCGGCUAACUCCGUGCCAGCAGCCGCGGUAAUACGGAGGAUCCGAGCGUUAUCCGGAUUUAUUGGGUUUAAAGGGAGCGUAGAUGGGUUGUUAAGUCAGUUGUGAAAGUUUGCGGCUCAACCGCAAAAUUGCAAUUGAUACUGGCAGUCUUGAGUACAGUUGAGGUAGGCGGAAUUCGUGGUGUAGCGGUGAAAUGCUUAGAUAUCACGAAGAACUCCGAUUGCGAAGGCAGCUUACUAACCUGUAACUGACAUUGAUGCUCGAAAGUGUGGGUAUCAAACAGGAUUAGAUACCCUGGUAGUCCACACGGUAAACGAUGAAUACUCGCUGUAGGCGAUAUACAGUCUGCGGCCAAGCGAAAGCAUUAAGUAUUCCACCUGGGGAGUACGCCGGCAACGGUGAAACUCAAAGGAAUUGACGGGGGCCCGCACAAGCGGAGGAACAUGUGGUUUAAUUCGAUGAUACGCGAGGAACCUUACCCGGGCUUAAAUUGCAACCGAAUAUGGCGGAAACGCUAUAGCUAGCAAUAGCGGUUGUGAAGGUGCUGCAUGGUUGUCGUCAGCUCGUGCCGUGAGGUGUCGGCUUAAGUGCCAUAACGAGCGCAACCCUUGCCGAUAGUUACUAACAGGUCAUGCUGAGGACUCUGUCGGGACUGCCAUCGUAAGAUGUGAGGAAGGUGGGGAUGACGUCAAAUCAGCACGGCCCUUACGUCCGGGGCUACACACGUGUUACAAUGGGGGGUACAGAGGGCUGCUACCACGCAAGUGGAUGCCAAUCCCAAAAACCUCUCUCAGUUCGGAUUGAAGUCUGCAACCCGACUUCAUGAAGCUGGAUUCGCUAGUAAUCGCGCAUCAGCCACGGCGCGGUGAAUACGUUCCCGGGCCUUGUACACACCGCCCGUCAAGCCAUGGGAGCCGGGGGUACCUGAAGUGCGAAGCCGCAAGGAGCGCCCUAGGGUAAAACU